This 77-nucleotide transfer RNA is filed under the name Candidatus Omnitrophota bacterium. RNAcentral describes it as "tRNA-Met". It matches the Rfam family "tRNA". From Rfam's summary of the family: Transfer RNA (tRNA) molecules are approximately 80 nucleotides in length. Their secondary structure includes four short double-helical elements and three loops (D, anti-codon, and T loops). Further hydrogen bonds mediate the characteristic L-shaped molecular structure. tRNAs have two regions of fundamental functional importance: the anti-codon, which is responsible for specific mRNA codon recognition, and the 3' end, to which the tRNAs corresponding amino acid is attached (by aminoacyl-tRNA synthetases). tRNAs cope with the degeneracy of the genetic code in two manners: having more than one tRNA (with a specific anti-codon) for a particular amino acid; and 'wobble' base-pairing, i.e. permitting non-standard base-pairing at the 3rd anti-codon position. Lineage: Bacteria; Pseudomonadati; Candidatus Omnitrophota. The record is from RNAcentral. RNAcentral also lists the same sequence under 1 other name.
GGCGGCGUAGCUCAGCCUGGCAGAGCAAGCGGCUCAUACCCGCUAUGUCGAAGGUUCGAAUCCUUCCGCCGUCACCA